RNAcentral lists this ribosomal RNA (497 nucleotides) under uncultured bacterium. RNAcentral's name for it is "partial 16S ribosomal RNA". It matches the Rfam family "Bacterial small subunit ribosomal RNA", at positions 28 to 507 of the family's 1533-position model. The record is from RNAcentral.
GACGAACGCUGGCGGCGUGCCUAAUACAUGCAAGUUGAGCGCUGAAGGUUGGUACUUGUACCAACUGGAUGAGCAGCGAACGGGUGAGUAACGCGUGGGGAAUCUGCCUUUGAGCGGGGGACAACAUUUGGAAACGAAUGCUAAUACCGCAUAAAAUCUUUAAACACAAGGUUUAAGAUUGAAAGAUGCAAUUGCAUCACUCAAAGAUGAUCCCGCGUUGUAUUAGCUAGUUGGUGAGGUAAAGGCUCACCAAGGCGAUGAUACAUAGCCGACCUGAGAGGGGGAUCGGCCACAUUGGGACUGGGACACGGCCCAAACUCCUACGGGAGGCAGCAGGAGGGGAUCCUCGGCAAUGGACGAAAGUCUGACCGAGCAACGCCGCGGGAGGGAAGAAGGGUGUCGGAUCGUAAAACUCUGUUGGUAGAGAAGAACGUUGGUGGGAGUGGAAAGCUCAUCAAGUGACGGUAACUACUCAGAAAGGGACGGCUAACUACGUG